GGAAUCUUCGGCAAUGUACGAAAGUCUGACCGAGCAACGCCGCGUGAGUGAAGAAGGUUUUCAGAUCGUAAAACUCUGUUGUUAGAGAAGAACAAGGAUGAGAGUAACUGUUCAUCCCUUGACGGUAUCUAACCAGAAAGCCACGGCUAACUACGUGCCAGCAGCCGCGGUAAUACGUAGGUGGCAAGCGUUGUCCGGAUUUAUUGGGCGUAAAGGGAACGCAGGCGGUCAUUUCAGUCUGAUGUGAAAGCCUUCGGCUUAACCGGAGAAGUGCAUUGCAAACUGGGAGACUUGAGUGCAGAAGAGGAGAGUGGAACUCCAUGUGUAGCGGUGAAAUGCGUAGAUAUAUGGAAGAACACCAGUGGCGAAAGCGGCUCUCUGGUCUGUAACUGACGCUGAGGUUCGAAAGCGUGGGGAGCGAACA
This 424-nucleotide ribosomal RNA is filed under the name uncultured bacterium. Its description in RNAcentral is "bacterial SSU rRNA". It matches the Rfam family "Bacterial small subunit ribosomal RNA", at positions 358 to 774 of the family's 1533-position model. The record is from RNAcentral.